RNAcentral lists this small nucleolar RNA (115 nucleotides) under Cephalotus follicularis. RNAcentral's name for it is "small nucleolar RNA snoR126". It matches the Rfam family "small nucleolar RNA snoR126". The record is from Rfam by way of RNAcentral. Lineage: Eukaryota; Viridiplantae; Streptophyta; Magnoliopsida; Oxalidales; Cephalotaceae.
AGGCGAUGAUGACAAUAAUUACAUUUCUCGAUACUGAUUUCCUCAGUGUAUGCAAACUAUGUUUGUUUAUAUGGAUUUGGUUUUUGAUGACUGUAUUUAUGCGUGUCUGAGCCUU